UCCAACACUUCCCCCUCCCUCUCCCAUUUCCACUCUUAAUUUUUACAGAGAUCUAGUUUCAGUUUACAUAAUGAUAGUAAAGUUAACCCUACACUAAGUAAAUGAGUUCAAUAAAUAGUAUGAAGAAAAAAAAACACUGUUCUUCAAAAGAAGACAAAAGGGCUGAAAACAAUCAUCGAAUCUCAAAUGCCCAUUUCACUCCAAUACAUUGCAUUUUAGGUACUCUAAAUGAAAUGGAUUUGGAAUGUGCUUGGAUAGGUGAAAGAAUCCAUUUCAACUGGACUUACUUUCCGGCCUAAUGGACACAUAGAGAUGCGAUGAGAAUACGGAAGGGUAUGGUUUCUAGGGUCCCCUACAGCUCUGAAGGUGCCUGGGCCCGAGCCUCAAAUUCUCUCACCAGCAAUAAGCCCUGCAAUGUGGGGACACUGCUUUUCUCAGGACCCAGAUUAUGUUCUUGACAGUGGUUAUGGUUGAAUUGUGCCCCCUUCCCAAAGAUAUGUUGAAGUCCAAACCCUCAGUACUUCCGAAUGUGAGUGUAUUUGGAGACAAGGUCUUUCUAGAAGUAAUUAAGAUGGGCUCAGUAGAGUGGACACUAAUACAAUCAGACUGGUAUCCUUAAAAAAGGGGGGGAUUUGUACACAGACCGACACACAGUGACAAUACCUUGCAAACAUACCCAAGAUGGCCAAGGCCAACAAUGGACUCUUCCUUCACAGCCCUAAGAAAGAGCCAGUUCUAUGGACUCCCAGCUUCCAGACCUGUGGCACAACAGAUAGGUGUUGUUUACACCACCCUUUGUUAUAGUGGCAAUCAGAAAUGAAUACAGUAGGUAGAGUGGGCCUCCAUUUUCAAUUUUCAUUCUUGUCUUUUCUUAAUAGGUGGCUUCUAGAAAUGGAAGAAGGGAGAGAAGGCGAGUGAGAAUGGGCUUUAUGAAGGGACUGUACAGAGCACACAGCAAGUCUCCUCAGCUUGAUGAUUCAUGGCUGUGGCACCAGCCACCCUAGGAGACGUGGCUGCAGUAAUUUACAUUCCCACCAGCAGUGUAUUGAAUUUGAGACACACAGAGAGAGUGGUCUUCUGUCUACUAAUUGACUUUCCAAAUGGCUGCAAUGACCAGAGCUGGGCCGAUCUGAAGCCAGGAGCCAAGAACUUCUUCCGAGUCUUCCACAUGGGUGCAGGGGCCCAAGGAAAUGGGACACCCUCUGCAGCAAAUUUCCACUGUUUGCCACUGAGCAAUCAACAGUGCACAGACUUGGGUCUUCCUGGAGCCCUGGAGGUUGGCUGGAUUGACAAGCACCUGCCUCUGAUGUGGGUAUGCAAGGUAAGUGUGUCAUUUGUGAUUGUUACCAAACUGAAUCCUACUCUCAAAUCAAGCACUGGCAUCAUUUACUGACCCCUAUCUUUGGAUUCUUCUAGGAAGAUUCCAUUGCCGUGCUUGUAGGAAAAUACUUCAGGGGAAAUUUGAAGUGUGGCCCAUACUUCCUCUGGCUAACUGGUCACACUGAAUUAUGAGUACUAAUCCUUCUAAGGUAAAAUUCACAUUGAGCACAUUGCAAACAAAGAAGAUGAAGCACAAAGAAAGUGAGGCAACUGGUCCAAAGUGAAACGCCUCAGAAGUGGCUGAACUGAGACCUGAGCUUAGACUAUUUCUCAGGUCAGUGUUUCUUUCACUCCCUCACUGUAGCAUGCACUUUGCCUGUGAAGCCAGCAUACAAAUGGCACUCAUAGGAAUCACAUUGGGGAAGGGGAGUGGCCAAAUUGUGCUUGGUCUUUUGCUUUGUAUUGCACAUUUGCUCAAGUGGGAUGGGGACAGGCUGCUUUGGUUUUAAGCUCUUUAAGAGAGAUUAUCUUCCCUAAAUUUAUCUGUACCUUCUGUGGAUCAACUAAGCAUGCUCUCUAGUCUUGGGAAUUUGAAUCAGAGUACUUUGAUCUUCACUAAGAAGACCUGACUUAGUGAAAUUUUUAUCUAAAAUUGUAGAACUUCAGAGCUCAAAGAGAAUAGAAAUCACUAAUCCAGUUUCCUCAGUCAGCAGGUAAGGGGACUGAGGCUUAGAAGGGAAUAACUCAAUCAAGGACACAGCUAGUUAAUGGCAUAAAAGAUCUGCUGGGGCCAUGACCUUGCUUCAGGUUUCAGAAGAGCAGCUUUGGGGCCGAGGGAGCAGAUUUUCCCUGUAAGUACUCAAGGUUUGGGAACAGGACCCACACCAGACUUGCUUGGCUCUGAUCAAGCUGCCCACUUUUUUUUCUGAGUUUCCUUGGAUUUAGAGGUAUGCAAGCAGGAGAAGUCUCUCAGUAAAGCUCACGACUGGGCAGGGAAUCAUGACCCACCACUUAGGUGCCUUGUGACACUGGACAAAUGUCUUAACCACGGUUUGUGUCUAUGAUUCCCCUCUUACUUACAAGAUGGGUGUAAUACUUGCCUUGGGACUAUGAAGUUCAGGAACAACAUACACUAGGGAUUUUCAAAAUGUCCAUGAAAAAUGUGUAUUAUGAACAAACUGUGCAUGGAUUUCCCCCCAAAAUUGCAUCAAAAUAAAUUUAUAUUUUAAUUCCAUGAUCAUGAACUUCUAAAAAUACCCAUGAAUGUGUAUGUAAAUAUAUAUAUAUGUUUUAUAUAUAUAUAUAUGUUUGUGUGUGUAUGUUGUCUAUCAAAAUAUGUACCUACUAAUAUAGAGAGAGGAGAGAAAGACUAUGUGGAGACAACCUUCAUAAAUGGGCAUCCCAUGAAGUCCACAGGACAGCUCCCUCUUGUCAUUGUUACCAUUAUCCUUCAUUUUGCAAAUGUCACUGGAAACCAAGAGGUGUUGACAUCAGCACUGAAAUCUAGCAGGGUGCUGGACCUGUAUAAAGAAAAUGCCAUCCACUGUCAGGGAUGUUACAAGGAUUGAGUGAAGAAAAUACGAAAACACACCUGUCUUGGAGUCUGGCACAGAGGAGACUUUCAGAAAAGUGUGAUGAAUCAAACAUUUGUGGAAUGAACAGAAGAAAUCUCUGAGUGCAUCAGUGGCCAAUAUGGCCCACGUACUCAAUGAGAUGAACAAGGGUGUCUAUGAAGAUUUCCAUCAUCUACAUAACUUUGGAUCUCUGGGCUCAUAUUUAAGAUCCUUCAGUGAGUUGGAGAGCCUAGCAAAGAGAAGACAGCAUUCCAUUCAAGGGUUCUAUUGGCGUACCAACUGAACUUGGCUGACAAUUAAAUAUGGGCACAGAUUGGUCUUUUCCUAUUUUUCUCCUGAGACUUGGCAGUUUGUCUGACUGAAACUAGAAGCCCAGAUGGCACUGGAACUAAUUGGAGUCUUCCCGGGGUGCUGUGUCCUCAGGUUAGUAGAUGACCACAGUGGUUACAUAAUGGCGGACCAACUUGGGAGUUCCAGCUACUCAGGUCUCCAGCCAAAGGCCUGGCACCAAGAUGGUAGUUAACAAACAUUUGGUGAAUGAAUCCAAUUAGAGCCUCAUGGAUUAUUGAGGAUCCUGAAUUUUUGUCUGCGUGAAUUAUACCUACUGCUAUUUAACAUAAUAGAAAUGAGGAAAAUUUUAAUGUAUUUCUUUAUUAAUUUAUGAAUACCAUUUUUAUGACCAUAAUGGUACUUUCUAAGACAAAGAAGUGCAUGAGAAGAGUGGCAACAUUUUUAAAAAUUUUACAUUUUUAUAUAAAAUAUGUGUGUUAUAGAUUGGCUGUGCCAUCUCUUCUUCCACUCCUUUUCAUAUCCACGGAGAGCUGUUUCUGUAGUUUGCUCCAUUAGCUUGAGUUUCUUUUUUUAUUUAGUGGAAUUUAUUAAUACAUUAAAUUCUCAGGGUCAGAGCAAAUGCAUGAUAAUUACUAUAACACAAUUCCCAUCAAGUCUCAUAUUAAUGUGAUAUUAAUAUAAAGAACAGAUUCAAUAUAGUUCUUACAUACAAUUCUGACAAUAUAAUGAUACUUCUAAUCCUCUCUCGCUUCCUUCCUCCAUCCCUCUGUAUCUAUCUCCCUCCCUCCUUCCUUCCUUCCUUUCUUAAUUUUUGAGAGAAUAUAGUUUUAAUUUACAUUAUAAUCAGAGGCUUCAUGCUCCACUAAAAGCCUAAGUGUUCAGUUUUGUUUUUCUUUUUCAAAAUAUUUGGUUAUUCU
This is a non-coding RNA of Oryctolagus cuniculus (rabbit), 4102 nucleotides long. The record is from RefSeq and is a predicted model, not a curated record. NCBI's taxonomy places the organism in Eukaryota, Metazoa, Chordata, Mammalia, Lagomorpha, Leporidae.